Xyrichtys novacula (pearly razorfish) is the source of this 70-nucleotide non-coding RNA. Lineage: Eukaryota; Metazoa; Chordata; Actinopteri; Labriformes; Labridae. The record is from the annotation of a GenBank genome assembly.
UUACUAUGAUGAGCUUCUACUUCAGGUCCGUGUUUUUGACAUUUUGUGAUACUAAUGAAGUUCUGAGUUC